CAAAGGCGGAUCAAGGCUGAGCAGAUGGAACCGCGUUGCAGCCCUGCCUGAAUUCGCAGCCCCCACCAGUGGGAUCAUCGCCAUCCCCUGUUGCGCCGGAUUUCCCAUUGCCAACCCUUGGCAGGGUGUGAGGAAGAGGAAGAUGCCCACGGACACUGAGGCAGAGCAGGAGCUGAGCAUGGAGAGCAGGGAGGACAAACGCCUGCAGCAGAACCUGGUGGAAGAGGCCGUUUUGAGCGGCUCCACGGCUCAGGAAGCCAACGGGGAGGACAAGCCCCGGAGAUGCCGCACGAGGAGGGGCUGCAAAUGCAGCUGGCGGGGAUCUGAGGGGAAAGAGCCAGCCUGGGCCGGGAAGGCGGCUGGAGAUGGAACCAGAGCUCGGAGCUGGUGCUCCAAGAUGGGGAGAAGCCCCAUACGUGCGUGGAGUGCGGGAAGAGCUUCAGGUGGAGCUCUGAGCUGAUCCAGCACCAGAGGAUACACACUGGGGAGAGGCCCUACGAGUGUUCCAAGUGUGGGAAGGGGUUUCAGACCAGCUCCCAUCUCCUCCGAUACUAUCAGAGUCACACAGGGGAGAGGCCCUACGGGUGUCCCCAGUGUGGGAAGAGCUUCUCACAGUGCUCUCACUUGCCCCAACACCAACGGAGUCACCACUAAGGGAAGCCCUGCGAGUGCCCCGAGUGCGAGAGCUUCGUGCGCUGCUUUUGCUCCAUCCCACACUGGAGGAGGCACUUUGGCCACCGCCCUGGUCACUUACGUUCCUUGUGAUCCAUGCUGGGAACACACCUGGCUGCUUCUCUCCUUUUCGUUUGGCCUCAAUUUUCUUUUGCUUCAUCUUCAUCCCUUAAAAACAGCCAAAACAGGCUGCUAUUAAAUGAAAGAAAUUGAUCAAAGAUGUCUAAAGUUCCACAAUUUCAGAGGUUUUUAAGGGAGAAUUCAUGGUUUAGGGACAAUAUUCUGGAGGAUUUGUGGGUUCUCUGGGGGGAUUUUGGGCAGUGUUUUCCAUCUCUUUUUGCUCUAAAAGCCAAGAGGGUCACCUCAAAACAACUGAAUCCCUCUGAAAACAACUGUUGCAGAAUUUUGUUCAGACAUGGCUUAUAGAGGGGCCAUGAAAAUAUACAGCCGGUUAAAAAGUAAAAGGCAGCUGUAAGCAGCAAGUUCCCAGGCUUUUUCCUUAAACAAUAAACACCAUGUUCUUGAGUAAAGUGAUGAGAAAAAACAUGAUGGAAAACACGGAGGCCUUGAGAACAGUCAAUAACAAGUCAACAACA
Long non-coding RNA from Melospiza melodia melodia, 1268 nucleotides. RefSeq lists it as uncharacterized. Lineage: Eukaryota; Metazoa; Chordata; Aves; Passeriformes; Passerellidae. The transcript is spliced from 3 exons. The record is from RefSeq and is a predicted model, not a curated record.